AUUAUUGCAAAUCCCCCCUUUUGGGGUGUUGCAGUUGCCUCUGUGGGCAAGGACAGACAUUUAACUCUUCCCCAGGUGUUGGGAGAACCCAAAGAGUUGUUGCCUUAAUGUUCACAGAUGUUAGUGACCUGUGCCAUGAGACCUCAAGGUCCUUUCAUUGCCUAUUGAAAUCAAAACCUGUAGCCGCAUCCUGGAGCAGACAAGGGAAACAGAGAGCUGCUAAUCAACCCUGCCAUCCUCUCCUGGGAUGCCAGCAGAAUCAUACUGCUGUUACCUGCUUGCUGGUGACUUUUUCAACACACCUGCACUUAAGUGGAAUGAUGCCUGCCAGAAUACCAGCCCUGUCAAACUGAAGCCUGCUGUGACUGUCUACAGCACCAGGCCUCUAUGUGGUGUGAGCAUAAAUCAGGACCAGCUGUGGGAAAGAGCCUGCUCUGGGUCAGCAGAUCUCUUCUUCACCUGGGGACGCCUUGCAUGCAUUAUACUUCUGAGUUUCUGUACUGAGCCUUUGCAGAGCAGCAAGCUAUUCUCACUCCCAGCCCCGGCGUUUUGUCACCACGGGUGAUGUGGACUGAUGCUGCUGUGGACAAGGACACAGCAGUUUCGUCCACUGGCUGGAUGCUGCAGAGCAGCAGCUGGCCAUCGCUCAGGGACAGCGCGAUGCUCUGUGUGGGUAUGGCAGGAAACCUGCCUGGCAGAGCUGGCACAGUUUGGAGCAGGGUGUGGGCAUCGGACAUGAUACAACAUGAUGUGGAAGUAGCAGAUGUUGACAUGAUCAGGUUUGUUGGCUUUUUGUUUUGUCUUUUCCUACCUGUGACUUCACUCUGUUUGGAGAGAGCACAUGCCAGACGGAUGGAGGGGAAAAACCAUUCUCAAGUUUGCACUGAAUUUGUCCCAAAUAGGUUCUCAUUCAGAUCAG
Cygnus olor (mute swan) is the source of this 919-nucleotide long non-coding RNA. RefSeq lists it as uncharacterized. The transcript is spliced from 4 exons. The record is from RefSeq and is a predicted model, not a curated record. Lineage: Eukaryota; Metazoa; Chordata; Aves; Anseriformes; Anatidae.